GCUGUAGCUCAGUGCUAGAGCAUCUGCUUUGCACGCAGAAAGCCCCAAUUCUAAUCUCUGGCAUCUCCA
Podarcis lilfordi (Lilford's wall lizard) is the source of this 69-nucleotide non-coding RNA. The record is from the annotation of a GenBank genome assembly. NCBI's taxonomy places the organism in Eukaryota, Metazoa, Chordata, Lepidosauria, Squamata, Lacertidae.